CUCUAAUCAAAGAUAUUUAUUAAGGGAAUUGACCAAGAUUUUUAAUCCCAUGAAAUGGAAUGUUCCAUUAAGCCCAUAUGAUACCAGCUAAUGUAUGUGCUGUCUGUUGAUGGUUCAAGAAGACAGUUCCCUUUUAUUUUAGGUAAAUCAUGUUUGAAUACUGGAUAGUUUCUUAUACCUUUGCCUUUAUUUCUACGAUGUCUAUUUAAUGUACAGAUAGAUGCCUAUGGAGGCAGCAACCUCACUAACAAUGGAUCAUAUGGAAUAUCUAUCUGAUAUCAGCACAAAUGAUUAAUGUAUAAUCUUUUGUUAUUACAUUGUGUGACUUACUGUUACAGCAAAUCAUCUGAAAUUGUCUUGCAGUGGGAAUGAUAGCUAUCAACCAGAUGCUCAUUUGCUCGCCCGAGGGUCACUGAGAAACAGGAACAAAAGGUACAACAGCUUGGAGAGCUGACACCACUCUUAAAGUUAAUGUAAACUCUCAUUGACCAAGCUCACUGGGGUAGAUCAGGCCCUGUAGAAGCCACUGCAAUAGUAAAAAAGGCAAAAAAAUAGACCUUUUGUGUAGAAAGAUAGCAAGGUACUAAAUAAUCGUUCCAAACAAGCUCUUGAUACAGAAUGUAAAAGAAUCCCUCCAGACAAAUACAUUUUAGUGAGGUUAUCCUAAUUCUCUCACACAAACCCUACAUUCCCACUUCUCAUUAUUUAUAUUCACUGUGGUUCUCAUGAGAGCAGCGAGCAAGAUGUCAUUUUGGAAGUGCUGCUAUCAAGGGCAUACGUAGUUUAAUUAUUAAAACAAAACUGUUGCUUAGCAAGCUUUAAAUGCCACUGCUGCCACUUAGAAACUGAUGUGAUUUGCAUUUCUUUUAAUCAAUUAGGUAUUUAAUUACAUUAUAAAUGUAAUCUCUAAUUGAAGCAUCUUUUCCCAGUGGGUAUAGCUCCAUGACGAUUUUGAACGAGCUAUCUGGAAGUUGGUGCAUGCUGCUGCAGGGAAGACCUUUGAAGACCUUUCUGGGACUCCUAAAUGCUGUUYGGUUCCAGUCAUGGCUUAUUGCUGGUGAUUCAUUCUUUGGGGAGCCAUGUAUUCACUACUUUACAGAUGUGGAUCCUGGCACAAUUCUGCAAAACAGCUAAGGUACAGUUGCCACAGGCAAAUGUAGCAGUAAGAGGUGGGAAAGGGAGGGAAAAGGGUGGUAACAAAUAAAGUGUUAAGGCCUAAAAGCUCUGAAACA
This 1232-nucleotide long non-coding RNA is filed under the name Dromaius novaehollandiae (emu). RNAcentral's name for it is "lncRNA (ENSDNVG00000004211.1)". Lineage: Eukaryota; Metazoa; Chordata; Aves; Casuariiformes; Dromaiidae. The record is from RNAcentral.